RNAcentral lists this ribosomal RNA (494 nucleotides) under uncultured bacterium. RNAcentral describes it as "partial 16S ribosomal RNA". It matches the Rfam family "Bacterial small subunit ribosomal RNA", at positions 28 to 507 of the family's 1533-position model. The record is from RNAcentral.
GACGAACGCUGGCGGCGUGCUUAACACAUGCAAGUCGAACGGAAAGGCCUGCUUUCCCUUGUGGAUUGCGGGUACUCGAGUGGCGAACGGGUGAGUAACACGUGAGUGAUCUGCCCCCAACUUGGGUAUAAGCCUGGGAAACUGGGUCUAAUUCCCGAUAGGACUGCAGGGUGGUGCCUGUGGUGGAAAACGAUUUUCUAGUGGUUGGGGAUGAGCUCGCGGCCUAUCAGCUUGUUGGUGGGGUAAUGGCCUACCAAGGCGGCGACGGGUAGCCGGCCUGAGAGGGUGGACGGCCACAGUGGGACUGAGAUACGGCCCAGACUCCUACGGGCGGCAGCAGUGGGGAAUAUUGCACAAUGGGCGGAAGCCUGAUGCAGCGACGCCGCGUGGGGGAUGACGGCCUUCGGGUUGUAAACUCCUUUCGACCGCGAGGAAGCCACCUGGUUGGAAGGGUGGUGACGGUAGUGGUAGAAGAAGCACCGGCUAACUACGUG